UACGGAGGGGGCGAGCGUUGUCCGAAGUUACUGGGCGUAAAGCGCGUGUAGGCGGGUUGCCAAGUCCGCUGUGAAAGCCCACGGCUCAACCGUGGAGGGUCAUUGGAAACUGGGGGCUUGAGUGCAGAAGAGGAGAGUGGAAUUCCACGUGUAGCGGUGAAAUGCGUAGAGAUGUGGAGGAACACCAGUGGCGAAGGCGACUCUCUGGUCUGUAACUGACGCUGAGGCGCGAAAGCGUGGGGAGCAAACAGG
RNAcentral lists this ribosomal RNA (252 nucleotides) under uncultured bacterium. RNAcentral's name for it is "partial 16S ribosomal RNA". It matches the Rfam family "Bacterial small subunit ribosomal RNA", at positions 524 to 776 of the family's 1533-position model. The record is from RNAcentral.